Non-coding RNA from Acanthosepion pharaonis, 113 nucleotides. The record is from the annotation of a GenBank genome assembly. Lineage: Eukaryota; Metazoa; Mollusca; Cephalopoda; Sepiida; Sepiidae.
UACAGCCAUAUCAUGACAAAACACCAGUUCUCGUCUGAUCACUAAAAUUAAGAAACAUCAGGUCUGGCUGAUUCUUGGAUGGGUGGCCACUUGGGAAUACCAGGUGCUGUAAG